GAUGAACGCUGGCGGCAUGCCUAAUACAUGCGAGUCGAGCGAACAGACGAGGAUCUUGCUCCUCUUACGUUACCGACGGACGGGUGAGUAACACGUGUCUAACCUACCUAUAAGACUGGGAUAACUUCGGGAAAGCUGAGCUCAUACCCGAUAAUAUAUUGAACCGCAUGGUUCAUUAGUGAAAAACGGUUUUGCUGUCACUUAUACAUGUAUCCUCGCCGGAUUAGCUAGUUGGUAAGGUAACGGCUUACCAAGGCAACGAUGCGUAGCCGACCUGAGAGGGUGAUCGGCCACACUGGAACUGAGACACGGUCCAGACUCCUACGGGAGGCAGCAGUAGGGAAUCUUCCGCAAUGGGCGAAAGCCUGACGGAGCAAUGCCGCGUGAGUGAUGAAGGUCUUCGGAUCGUAAAACUCUGUUAUUAGGGAAGAAGAAAAGUGUAAGUAAAUAUGGCCGUCUUGACGGUACCUAAUCAGAAAGCCACGGCUAACUACGUG
This 497-nucleotide ribosomal RNA is filed under the name uncultured bacterium. RNAcentral describes it as "partial 16S ribosomal RNA". It matches the Rfam family "Bacterial small subunit ribosomal RNA", at positions 28 to 507 of the family's 1533-position model. The record is from RNAcentral.